This 587-nucleotide ribosomal RNA is filed under the name uncultured bacterium. RNAcentral's name for it is "bacterial SSU rRNA". It matches the Rfam family "Bacterial small subunit ribosomal RNA", at positions 76 to 681 of the family's 1533-position model. The record is from RNAcentral.
GAGCUUGCUCCACUGAUUAGUGGCGAACGGGUGAGGAACACGUGAGAAACCUGCCUCGGAUUUUGGGAUAACAAAUGGAAACGUUUGCUAAUACCAAAUAACGUCGGAGAGCUUCAUGGCUUUCUGACGAAAGGAAUUCCGAUUCGAGAGGGUCUCGCGGCCUAUCAGCUAGUUGGCGGGGUAAUGGCCCACCAAGGCAACGACGGGUAGCUGGUCUGAGAGGAUGGUCAGCCACACUGGGACUGAGACACGGCCCAGACUCCUACGGGAGGCAGCAGUGGGGAAUCUUGCGCAAUGGGCGAAAGCCUGACGCAGCAACGCCGCGUGCGGGAAGAAGGCUUUCGGGCUGUAGACCGCUUUCAGCAGGAACGAAAGUGACGGUACCUACAAAAGAAGCACCGGCUAACUAUGUGCCAGCAGCCGCGGUAAUACAUAGGGUGCAAGCGUUGUCCGGAAUUAUUGGGCGUAAAGAGCUCGUAGGUCGUUUGUUACGUCGGAUGUGAAAACCUGAGGCUCAACCUCAGGCCUGCAUUCGAUACGGGCAAACUAGAGUUUGGUAGGGGAGACUGGAAUUCCUGGUGUAGCGG